Molecule: non-coding RNA, 436 nt
Organism: Xyrauchen texanus (razorback sucker)
Lineage: Eukaryota; Metazoa; Chordata; Actinopteri; Cypriniformes; Catostomidae
Source: the annotation of a RefSeq genome assembly
AACUGAAGACGGAGAACUUCUUCAUCCAGAAUCUAGAUCCACAGCAAUCAUGACUUUCAUCAGCAUCUUUAUCUGGAUGUUCACUAGCUACUGUUUUAGAGAAUCCAGAUGUGCAGUGACAGUCACUCAAACACCUGCAGUGAAAUCUGUUCAUCUUGGAGACACAUUUACUAUCAGCUGUAAAACCAGUCCUGAAGUUUAUCAGGGUUGGGGUAAUCAGCCUCUUGCCUGGUAUCAGCAGAAACCUGGAGAAGCUCCUAAACUCCUCAUAUAUGCUGCAACAAACCGCUACACCGGAACUCCAUCUAGAUUCAGUGGCAGUGGAUCUAAAAGUGAUUUCAGUUUGACCAUCAGUGGAGUCCAGACUGAAGAUGCAGGACAUUAUUACUGUCAGAGUGUACACGUCAUCAGUGGCAGUUAUGUGUUCACACAGUGA